RNAcentral lists this ribosomal RNA (357 nucleotides) under uncultured bacterium. RNAcentral describes it as "bacterial SSU rRNA". It matches the Rfam family "Bacterial small subunit ribosomal RNA", at positions 433 to 793 of the family's 1533-position model. The record is from RNAcentral.
GAAUAGCAAGGAUAGGAAAUGAUCCUUGUCUGACGGUACCUUACCAGUAAAGCCACGGCUAACUACGUGUCCAGCAGCCGCGGUAAUACGUAGGUGGCAAGCGUUAUCCGGAAUUAUUGGGCGUUAAAGCGCAUGUAGGCGGCUUUUUAAGUCUGGUGUGAAAGCCUGUGGCUCAACCACAGAAUUGCAUUGGAUACUGGAAAGCUAGAAUCUUGGAGAGGUAAGUGGAAUUUCAUGUGUAGCGGUGGAAUGCGUAGAUAUAUGAAGGAACACCAAUGGCGAAGGCAGCUUACUGGACAAGUAUUGACGCUGAGAUGCGAAAGUGUGGGUAGCAAACAGGAUUAGAUACCCUGGUAG